CAGAAAUGGAGGCCAAUAGAUAAUGAUAGCAAGGGGCCUCCUGUUCCCACCUAUUGUUUCCAACUCUAAUUAGGAAAAGGGAACCCGGGACCAUUGUCUUCUCCAAGGGUGCAGACGGGAUGUUAUCGUCCUGUUUACAGAGGGGGGCGGAUACCCAGCUCAACAGUCCCCCCACACUCAGCUGUCCCAUCUUGAAGGAACAAUGCCUCUCCCCGACCCCCCAACAGGGCUCGUGCUGACUGCACAGAGGAAGCCACACGCUAACAAACAAGCUCACAGGCCAGGAAGUUUUAAUCAGCGCUUUCUACCACAGAGGUAUGAUGGAUGGGGGCCCCCGCUGCGGAGGGGUUUCCUCUAGAUAAAACAAUAAUGUCCCGCUCUCAAGAACCUGGUCGACAGCUGAAGGCAAUGAUUAAUCCCCCAAAAGCCAAACGUGGGAAGACUGGCGGGAGGAGAUUAGUUGCCGGGUAUAAUUAGCCACGAUUAUCACCGAAAAGAAUUUGGAGUAGAUUCUGCUCUUGGGGGCUG
RNAcentral lists this long non-coding RNA (528 nucleotides) under Marmota monax (woodchuck). The record is from RNAcentral. Lineage: Eukaryota; Metazoa; Chordata; Mammalia; Rodentia; Sciuridae.